RNAcentral lists this ribosomal RNA (254 nucleotides) under uncultured bacterium. Its description in RNAcentral is "partial 16S ribosomal RNA". It matches the Rfam family "Bacterial small subunit ribosomal RNA", at positions 524 to 776 of the family's 1533-position model. The record is from RNAcentral.
UACGGAGGAUGCAAGCGUUAUCCGGAAUGAUUGGGCGUAAAGCGUCCGCAGGUGGCAGUUCAAGUCUGCUGUCAAAGACCGGGGCUUAACUUCGGAAAGGCAGUGGAAACUGAACAGCUAGAGUAUGGUAGGGGCAGAGGGAAUUCCUGGUGUAGCGGUGAAAUGCGUAGAGAUCAGGAAGAACAUCGGUGGCGAAAGGCGCUCUGCUGGACCAUAACUGACACUCAGGGACGAAAGCUAGGGGAGCGAAUGGG